RNAcentral lists this ribosomal RNA (46 nucleotides) under Bipolaris maydis (southern corn leaf blight pathogen). RNAcentral's name for it is "partial 28S ribosomal RNA". The record is from RNAcentral. RNAcentral also lists the same sequence under 191 other names. Lineage: Eukaryota; Fungi; Ascomycota; Dothideomycetes; Pleosporales; Pleosporaceae.
UUGACCUCGGAUCAGGUAGGGAUACCCGCUGAACUUAAGCAUAUCA